This 1536-nucleotide ribosomal RNA is filed under the name Bacteroides ovatus. RNAcentral describes it as "bacterial SSU rRNA". It matches the Rfam family "Bacterial small subunit ribosomal RNA". The record is from RNAcentral. Lineage: Bacteria; Pseudomonadati; Bacteroidota; Bacteroidia; Bacteroidales; Bacteroidaceae.
CUUUUACAAUGAAGAGUUUGAUCCUGGCUCAGGAUGAACGCUAGCUACAGGCUUAACACAUGCAAGUCGAGGGGCAGCAUUUUAGUUUGCUUGCAAACUGAAGAUGGCGACCGGCGCACGGGUGAGUAACACGUAUCCAACCUGCCGAUAACUCGGGGAUAGCCUUUCGAAAGAAAGAUUAAUAUCCGAUAGUAUAUUAAAACCGCAUGGUUUUACUAUUAAAGAAUUUCGGUUAUCGAUGGGGAUGCGUUCCAUUAGUUUGUUGGCGGGGUAACGGCCCACCAAGACAACGAUGGAUAGGGGUUCUGAGAGGAAGGUCCCCCACAUUGGAACUGAGACACGGUCCAAACUCCUACGGGAGGCAGCAGUGAGGAAUAUUGGUCAAUGGGCGAGAGCCUGAACCAGCCAAGUAGCGUGAAGGAUGAAGGCUCUAUGGGUCGUAAACUUCUUUUAUAUGGGAAUAAAGUAUUCCACGUGUGGAAUUUUGUAUGUACCAUAUGAAUAAGGAUCGGCUAACUCCGUGCCAGCAGCCGCGGUAAUACGGAGGAUCCGAGCGUUAUCCGGAUUUAUUGGGUUUAAAGGGAGCGUAGGUGGAUUGUUAAGUCAGUUGUGAAAGUUUGCGGCUCAACCGUAAAAUUGCAGUUGAAACUGGCAGUCUUGAGUACAGUAGAGGUGGGCGGAAUUCGUGGUGUAGCGGUGAAAUGCUUAGAUAUCACGAAGAACUCCGAUUGCGAAGGCAGCUCACUAGACUGUCACUGACACUGAUGCUCGAAAGUGUGGGUAUCAAACAGGAUUAGAUACCCUGGUAGUCCACACAGUAAACGAUGAAUACUCGCUGUUUGCGAUAUACAGUAAGCGGCCAAGCGAAAGCAUUAAGUAUUCCACCUGGGGAGUACGCCGGCAACGGUGAAACUCAAAGGAAUUGACGGGGGCCCGCACAAGCGGAGGAACAUGUGGUUUAAUUCGAUGAUACGCGAGGAACCUUACCCGGGCUUAAAUUGCAACAGAAUAUAUUGGAAACAGUAUAGCCGUAAGGCUGUUGUGAAGGUGCUGCAUGGUUGUCGUCAGCUCGUGCCGUGAGGUGUCGGCUUAAGUGCCAUAACGAGCGCAACCCUUAUCUUUAGUUACUAACAGGUCAUGCUGAGGACUCUAGAGAGACUGCCGUCGUAAGAUGUGAGGAAGGUGGGGAUGACGUCAAAUCAGCACGGCCCUUACGUCCGGGGCUACACACGUGUUACAAUGGGGGGUACAGAAGGCGGCUACCUGGUGACAGGAUGCUAAUCCCAAAAACCUCUCUCAGUUCGGAUCGAAGUCUGCAACCCGACUUCGUGAAGCUGGAUUCGCUAGUAAUCGCGCAUCAGCCAUGGCGCGGUGAAUACGUUCCCGGGUCUUGUACACACCGCCCGUCAAGCCAUGAAAGCCGGGGGUACCUGAAGUACGUAACCGCAAGGAGCGUCCUAGGGUAAAACUGGUAAUUGGGGCUAAGUCGUAACAAGGUAGCCGUACCGGAAGGUGCGGCUGGAACACCUCCUUUCU